AUACAGAUCACCUGGGGAUCUGGUUAAAAUGCAGAUACAGAUUUGAAGGCUUGAGGCGGAGCCCUAGAAUCUGUAUUUCUAAUAAGUUUCCAAAUGAUGCCAAU
RNAcentral lists this microRNA precursor (104 nucleotides) under Marmota monax (woodchuck). The record is from RNAcentral. Lineage: Eukaryota; Metazoa; Chordata; Mammalia; Rodentia; Sciuridae.